CCUUCGAUAGCUCAGUUGGUAGAGCGGUGGACUGUAGAUCGUACGAAAAUAGUAAAUAGUAAUCCAUAGGUCGCUGGUUCAAAUCCGGCUCGAAGGA
Aedes albopictus (Asian tiger mosquito) is the source of this 97-nucleotide non-coding RNA. NCBI's taxonomy places the organism in Eukaryota, Metazoa, Arthropoda, Insecta, Diptera, Culicidae. The record is from Rfam.